GGCCUACCAUGGUUUUAACGGGUAACGGGGAAUUAGGGUUCGAUUCCGGAGAGGGAGCCUGAGAAACGGCUACCACAUCCAAGGAAGGCAGCAGGCACGCAAAUUACCCAAUCCCAGAACGGGGAGGUAGUGACGAAAAAUAACAAUACGGGACUCUUAUGAGGCCCCGUAAUUGGAAUGAGAACAAUUUAAAUCCUUUAACGAGGAUCUAUUGGAGGGCAAGUCUGGUGCCAGCAGCCGCGGUAAUUCCAGCUCCAAUAGCGUAUAUUAAAGUUGUUGCAGUUAAAAAGCUCGUAGUUGAAUUUCGGGGUUAGUAGGCUGGUCAUGCCACCGGUAUGUACUGGUCUUACUGAUUCCUCCUUCCUGAUGAACUGUAAUGCCAUUAAUUUGGUGUUGCAGGGAAUCUGGACUGUUACUUUGAAAAAAUUAGAGUGUUUAAAGCAGGCUAACGCUUGAAUACAUUAGCAUGGAAUAAUGAAAUAGGACGUUCGAUCCUAUUUUGUUGGUUUCUAGGAUUGACGUAAUGAUUAAUAGGGAUAGUUGGGGGCAUUAGUAUUCAAUUGUCAGAGGUGAAAUUCUUGGAUUUAUUGAAGACUAACUACUGCGAAAGCAUUUGCCAAGGAUGUUUUCAUUAAUCAAGAACGAAAGUUAGGGGAUCGAAGACGAUCAGAUACCGUCGUAGUCUUAACCAUAAACUAUGCCGACUAGGGAUCGGAUGAUGUUAAUUUUUUAAUGACUCAUUCGGCGCCUUACG
RNAcentral lists this ribosomal RNA (754 nucleotides) under uncultured Glomeromycotina. Its description in RNAcentral is "SSU rRNA". It matches the Rfam family "Eukaryotic small subunit ribosomal RNA", at positions 338 to 1092 of the family's 1831-position model. Lineage: Eukaryota; Fungi; Glomeromycota. The record is from RNAcentral.